This is an RNA transcript of Elaeis guineensis (African oil palm), 2984 nucleotides long. It is a transcript of the gene named probable serine/threonine protein phosphatase 2A regulatory subunit B''delta, with no coding region annotated. NCBI's taxonomy places the organism in Eukaryota, Viridiplantae, Streptophyta, Magnoliopsida, Arecales, Arecaceae. The record is from RefSeq and is a predicted model, not a curated record.
GGCUGUGUCUGUGCUGAGCGAGCCGGGGGUCAUUUCUUGCCGUUAUAUUUGGCGUUCCAGGACCCGGCUCUGGCUGCAUGGUCUUUUAUUUCUCUCUCUAUUUUCUUUUUUGUGAGGGUUUCGAGCUCUCUUCUUUUUCGAGAGUGGUGGGUCUUGAUCCGAGUCGUCCCUUCCGAUCUCCGACACGUUAAUCUCUCCUUCUCUUCCCGUCCUCCUAUCGUUCUCCGCCUUUCGUGCGGUGGCCUCGACCUCGAUCCCAAUCUAUGAAGCACCGGAGCUGGAGGAAAGAAGGAUUCGGAACGAUCCCAGGUGCCUCCAGCUCUGCAGUUUGAAAUCCCGGGAUUUGUUGCUGAAUUCCGCCUCCUGUGGUCUGGAUUGGAGGUUUGGAUUCUGGUGGUCCAAUGGUGGGGAAGGGAGGAGGCUUGGAUUGGAUUGGAGCGGUGCGAAGAUCUAGGGUUUGCCUGCUGUGAUUGCUAGGAUCGAAGUUUGUAUUUUCUUACGGGAUUAAGGAAUUUAGGGUUCGUUUAUUGCACCUCUUCUCGUUCUUGGUGUAUGAGAGAGAUUGGGAGUAGUGAGAAUGGAUGCGGAAGUGGAAAGGGACGUUACCGCCCUCGACCCGGAUCUGCUGCAGCUGGCGGAGAUAUCUCCGUUGGCGUUGAAACAGAACCCGGAGAUUGCACAAGAGCUUUACUCGCAGUGGCUUACGCUACCGGAAACUUCCAAAAUGGUGAAGUCAUUAAUUGAAGAUGCAAAAGCUGGUGCCCCUCUGAAUGUUCCUGGCAGCUCUAGUAGCACAAAUGCUGUGGCAGGCAACCCAUUGCCUUCCAUGUUCGCUGCUGGCAGUGCACCUCCUCUUUCACCUAGAAGCACUUCUGGAUCUCCUCGUGUUGCAAAACGUGGUACAGGGACUGGAGUUUCAUCCUUUGGAUCUCCACUAAAAUUAGUUAGCGGGCCAGUGAGAGAAAUCAUACCUCAAUUCUAUUUCAAAAAUGGGCGUCCACCUCCUGAAGAACUUAAAGAGCAAUGCGUAUCUAGAAUUGAUCAUAUUUUCUUUGGCCACAUGGAUGGACUACAAAUUCAUGAAUUUAAAUCCGUCACAAAGGACAUCUGCAAGCUACCAUCAUUCUUUUCCACUGCUCUUUUUAGAAAAAUCGAUGUUGAUUGGACUGGAACUGUAACAAGGGAUGCAUUUGUUGAUUAUUGGGUCAAUAGCAACAUGAUGACAACAGAUAUAACCACCCAGAUAUUUAACAUUCUGAAGCAACCUGAUUGCAAGUACCUCACUCAGGAGGACUUUAAACCUGUCCUUCAAGAACUUUUGGCGACGCAUCCCGGUUUGGAAUUCUUACAGGGCACACCUGAAUUUCAGGAAAGAUAUGCGGAAACUGUUAUAUACAGAAUUUUUUACUAUGUGAAUAGAUCUGGAAAUGGCCAACUUACCCUUAGAGAACUGAAACGUGGAAAUUUAAUUGCUGCAAUGCAGCAUGCUGAUGAGGAGGAAGAUAUUAACAAAGUUUUGAGGUACUUCUCAUAUGAGCACUUCUAUGUAAUAUACUGCAAGUUUUGGGAGCUCGAUACAGAUCAUGAUUUCUUGAUUGACAAAGAGAACCUUAUCAGAUAUGGAAACCAUGCACUGACAUAUAGAAUUGUUGAUAAAAUAUUUUCACAGUUACCGAGGAAAUUUACAAGUAAGGUUGAAGGAAAAAUGGGUUAUGAAGAUUUUGUUUAUUUUAUCCUGGCCGAGGAAGAUAAAUCAUCUGAGCCAAGUCUUGAGUAUUGGUUCAAGUGUAUAGAUUUGGAUGGAAAUGGAAUUCUGACUCCCAACGAAAUGCAAUUCUUUUAUGAGGAGCAGUUGCAUCGUAUGGAAUGCAUGGCACAGGAACCUGUACUCUUUGAGGACAUUUUAUGUCAGAUGAUCGAUAUGAUUGCACCAGAGAAUGAGAGCUUUUUUUCUCUACGAGACUUAAAAGGCAAUAAACUUUCGGGAAAUGUUUUUAACAUCCUUUUCAAUCUUAACAAAUUCAUGGCAUUUGAAACGCGUGAUCCAUUUCUUAUUCGUCAAGAACGUGAAGAGCCAACUUUGACUGAGUGGGAUCGUUUUGCACACAGAGAAUAUAUUAGGCUCUCAAUGGAAGAAGAUGCUGAAGAUGCCUCUAAUGGAAGUGGAGAUGUUUGGGAUGAAUCACUUGAGGCUCCAUUCUGAAGUCAAACUAAGGCCUGCCUUGUCAGACCAAGGUCCGUUCUGUAUAAAUUGCAGGAAUAUAUCUGCAUGACUAGCAUGAAAUCGACAUUGUCUCUGUAGCUUUCUUCUAAAAGUACCUGAAAGAAAUGCUUUGGUCCUGCGGAUGCUUGCUCAAAGCUGGCCAAGAAACGGCUAGAUAAAUUGUACGGCAUGCCUCUUUGAAGGAUCUUGACAGCCACAUCCGUCCUUACCGAUGAUUAAUUACAACUUUCACAACAUUGUUCUGAUUCCAAAUCGUAUAUUUUUUCCCAUGUGCAAAAUUUUUGCUUCUCAGGCAAGUGAAAGCAAAGUGGCAUUCUGGAGCAGUUGGUCAACACAUCAGUUUUGCUGAAUGAGGCAUAAAAGGAGUGCAGUCACUGAUCCCUUGAUUUAUUCGAAUUAUCCCAGCCAGGUACCAUGAGUUUAAGGAUUACUGGCCUUCUAAUCGGAAGAAAAUCAAAUUAUGUUUAGUUGCUGGUUUCUUUCUUUUCUUUCCCUCUGCUACAGUUUGUGGAAGCACAAGAAGGCAAUUAACUCUUCAGUUUGUUCCUGGCAUGUGUUUUCCCCGGGGAAUGUGGUGGCUUAUUGUAACGUGUUUCUCACUUAUGAAAAUUUAUAUGAUGAAAAAAGAUGGAAACACUUUUAUCACCUAUACUUGUUGAUUUAUUUGUUCUAUUAGAAUUGUUAAGUGUCUAAAAAUUAUUGGAAUUUAACAUAGGCAUUAUACAUUUCAGAAGUUGGCCGGAUUUUUUUUUAAAAAAAA